CGCCCUUGAGUUUGAUCAUGGCUCAGAUUGAACGCUGGCGGCAUGCUUUACCCUGCAAGUCGAACGGCAGCGCGGGGCAACCUGGCGGCGAGUGGCGAACGGGUGAGUAAUAUAUCGGAACGUACCCAAGAGUGGGGGAUAACGUAGCGAAAGUUACGCUAAUACCGCAUACGAUCUUAGGAUGAAAGCAGGGGACCGCAAGGCCUUGUGCUCCUGGAGCGGCCGAUAUCUGAUUAGCUAGUUGGUAGGGUAAAGGCCUACCAAGGCUACGACCAGUAGCUGGUCUGAGAGGACGACCAGCCACACUGGAACUGAGACAUGGUCCAGACUCCUACGGGAGGCAGCAGUGGGGAAUUUUGGACAAUGGGCGCAAGCCUGAUCCAGCAAUGCCGUUUUUUUUAAGAAGGCCUUCGGGUUGUAAAGCUCUUUUGUCAGGGAAGAAACGGUGCGGGCUAAUAUCCUGCGCUAAUGACGGUACCUGAAGAAUAAGCACCGGCUAACUACGUGCCAGCAGCCGCGGUGA
RNAcentral lists this ribosomal RNA (523 nucleotides) under uncultured Oxalobacteraceae bacterium. RNAcentral describes it as "bacterial SSU rRNA". It matches the Rfam family "Bacterial small subunit ribosomal RNA", at positions 1 to 523 of the family's 1533-position model. The record is from RNAcentral. Lineage: Bacteria; Pseudomonadati; Pseudomonadota; Betaproteobacteria; Burkholderiales; Oxalobacteraceae.